This 270-nucleotide ribosomal RNA is filed under the name uncultured prokaryote. Its description in RNAcentral is "partial 16S ribosomal RNA". It matches the Rfam family "Bacterial small subunit ribosomal RNA", at positions 524 to 794 of the family's 1533-position model. The record is from RNAcentral.
UACGUAGGGGCGAGCGUUGUCCGGAAUGAUUGGGCGUAAAGGGCGCGUAGGCGGACUUUUAAGUGAGAUGUGAAAUACCCGGGCUCAACUUGGGUGCUGCAUUUCAAACUGGAAGUCUAGAGUGCAGGAGAGGAGAAUGGAAUUCCUAGUGUAGCGGUGAAAUGCGUAGAGAUUGGGAGGAACACCAGUGGCGAAGGCGACUUACUGGGCCGUAACUGACGUUGAUGCGCGAAAGCGUGGGGAGCGAACAGGAUUAGAUACCCUGGUAGU